GAUGAACGCUAGCGGCAGGCCUAACACAUGCAGUCGAGGGGCAGCACAGAAACAGCAAUGUUUUGGUGGCGACCGGCGGACGGGUGCGUAACGCGUAUGCAACCUACCUUUAACAGGGGGAUAACGGAGAGAAAUUUCCACUAAUACCCCAUAACAUCGAUCAAGGCAUCUUGAUUGGUUGAAAACUCCGGUGGUUAAAGAUGGGCAUGCGUUGUAUUAGGUAGUUGGUGAGGUAAUGGCUCACCAAGCCUACGAUACAUAGGGGGACUGAGAGGUUAGCCCCCCACACUGGUACUGAGACACGGACCAGACUCCUACGGGAGGCAGCAGUGAGGAAUAUUGGUCAAUGGGGGCAACCCUGAACCAGCCAUGCCGCGUGCAGGAAGACGGCUCUAUGAGUUGUAAACUGCUUUUAAACAGGGAUAAAGCACAGUAUGUAUGCUGUGUUGAAGGUACUGUAAGAAUAAGGAUCGGCUAACUCCGUGCCAGCCGCCGCAGUAA
RNAcentral lists this ribosomal RNA (501 nucleotides) under uncultured bacterium. RNAcentral describes it as "partial 16S ribosomal RNA". It matches the Rfam family "Bacterial small subunit ribosomal RNA", at positions 28 to 523 of the family's 1533-position model. The record is from RNAcentral.